ACGGAAGGCAGCAGUGGGGAAUAUUGGGCAAUGGGCGAAAGCCUGACCCCGCAACGCCGCGUGAAUGAUGACGUUCUUCGGAUUGUAAACUUCUUUAAUUGGGGAAGAAUAAAUGACCUACCCACAGAAUAAGUCACGGCUAACUACGUGCCAGCAGCCGCGGUAAUACGUAGGUGACAAGCGUUAUCCGGAUUUACUGGGCGUAAAGGGCGUGUAGGCGGUUUGGCAAGUCAGAAGUGAAAUUCCUGAGCUCAACGAGGGCGCUGCUUCUGAAACUGCUAGACUUGAGUGCUGGAGGGGCUAGCGGAAUUCCUAGUGGAGCGGUAAAAUGCGCAGAUAUUAGGAAGAACACCGGUGGCGAAGGCGGCUAUCUGGACAGUAACUGACGCUGAGGCGCGAAAGCGUGGGGAGCAAACAGGAUUAGAUACCCUGGUA
RNAcentral lists this ribosomal RNA (435 nucleotides) under uncultured Saccharofermentans sp. RNAcentral's name for it is "partial 16S ribosomal RNA". It matches the Rfam family "Bacterial small subunit ribosomal RNA", at positions 341 to 792 of the family's 1533-position model. Lineage: Bacteria; Bacillati; Bacillota; Clostridia; Eubacteriales; Oscillospiraceae. The record is from RNAcentral.